CCUCAUAGCUCAGUCGGUAAAGAAUCUGCCUGCAAUGCAGGAGACCUGGGUUCGAUUCCUGGGUUGAGAA
Molecule: transfer RNA, 70 nt
Filed under: Bos taurus (domestic cattle)
Lineage: Eukaryota; Metazoa; Chordata; Mammalia; Artiodactyla; Bovidae
Also listed under: 5 other names
Rfam family: tRNA
About the family: Transfer RNA (tRNA) molecules are approximately 80 nucleotides in length. Their secondary structure includes four short double-helical elements and three loops (D, anti-codon, and T loops).
Source: Rfam by way of RNAcentral